RNAcentral lists this ribosomal RNA (1356 nucleotides) under Staphylococcus aureus. RNAcentral's name for it is "bacterial SSU rRNA". It matches the Rfam family "Bacterial small subunit ribosomal RNA", at positions 1 to 1338 of the family's 1533-position model. Lineage: Bacteria; Bacillati; Bacillota; Bacilli; Caryophanales; Staphylococcaceae. The record is from RNAcentral.
AAAAUGGAGAGAAAGAUCCUGGCUCAGGAUGAACGCUGGCGGCGUGCCUAAUACAUGCAAGUCGAGCGAACGGACGAGAAGCUUGCUUCUCUGAUGUUAGCGGCGGACGGGUGAGUAACACGUGGAUAACCUACCUAUAAGACUGGGAUAACUUCGGGAAACCGGAGCUAAUACCGGAUAAUAUUUUGAACCGCAUGGUUCAAAAGUGAAAGACGGUCUUGCUGUCACUUAUAGAUGGAUCCGCGGUGCAUUAGCUAGUUGGUAAGGUAACGGCUUACCAAGGCAACGAUACGUAGCCGACCUGAGAGGGUGAUCGGCCACACUGGAACUGAGACACGGUCCAGACUCCUACGGGAGGCAGCAGUAGGGAAUCUUCCGCAAUGGGCGAUUGCCUGACGGAGCAACGCCGCGUGAGUGAUGAAGGUCAACGGAUCGUAAAACUCUGUUAUUAGGGAAGAACAUAUGUGUAAGUAACUGUGCACAUCUUGACGGUACCUAAUCAGAAAGCCACGGCUAACUACGUGCCAGCAGCCGCGGUAAUACGUAGGUGGCUUGCGUUAUCCGGAAUUAUUGGGCGUAAAGCGCGCGUAGGCGGUAAAUUAAGUCUGAUGUGAAAGCCCACGGCUCAACCGUCCAGGGUCAUUGGAAACUGGAAAACUUGAGUGCAGAAGAGGAAAGUGGAAUUCCAUGUGUAGCGGUGAAAUGCGCAGAGAUAUGGAGGAACACCAGUGGCGAAGGCGACUUUCUGGUCUGUAACUGACGCUGAUGUGCGAAAGCGUGGGGAUCAAACAGGAUUAGAUACCCUGGUAGUCCACGCCGUAAACGAUGAGUGCUAAGUGUUAGGGGGUUUCCGCCCCUUAGUGCUGCAGCUAACGCAUUAAGCACUCCGCCUGGGGAGUACGACCGCAAGGUUGAAACUCAAAGGAAUUGACGGGGACCCGCACAAGCGGUGGAGCAUGUGGUUUAAUUCGAAGCAACGCGAAGAACCUUACCAAAUCUUGACAUCCUUUGACAACUCUAGAGAUAGAGCCUUCCCCUUCGGGGGACAAAGUGACACCUCCUGCAUGGUUGUCGUCAGCUCGUGUCGUGAGAUGUUGGGUUAAGUCCCGCAACGAGCGCAACCCUUAAGCUUAGUUGCCAUCAUUAAGUUGGGCACUCUAAGUUGACUGCCGGUGACAAACCGGAGGAAGGUGGGGAUGACGUCAAAUCAUCAUGCCCCUUAUGAUUUGGGCUACACACGUCGUACAAUGGACAAUACAAAGGGCAGCGUUACCGCGAGGUCAAGCAAAUCCCAUAAAGUUGUUCUCAGUUCGGAUUGUAGUCUCGAACUCGACUACAUGAAGCUGGAAUCGCUAG